Molecule: ribosomal RNA, 376 nt
Filed under: uncultured bacterium
Lineage: Bacteria
Description: bacterial SSU rRNA
Rfam family: Bacterial small subunit ribosomal RNA
Source: RNAcentral
UACGUAGGGGGCGAGCGUUAUCCGAAUUUACUGGGCGUAAAGCGCGUGUAGGCGGCUCUUUAAGUGAGAUGUGAAAUCCUGCGGCUCAACCGCAGAACUGCAUUUCAAACUGGGGGGCUUGAAUUUGGGCGAGGAAAGUGGAAUUCCUGGUGUAGCGGUGAAAUGCGUAGAUAUCAGGAGGAACACCCGUGGCGAAGGCAGCUUUCUGGCCCAACAUUGACGCUGAGACGCGAAAGCUAGGGUAGCGAACGGGAUUAGAUACCCCGGUAGUCCUAGCCGUAAACGAUGGAUACUAGGUGUAAGUGGUAUCGACCCCACUUGUGCCGGAGCUAACGCAUUAAGUAUCCCGCCUGGGGAGUACGGCCGCAAGGUUGAA